RNAcentral lists this ribosomal RNA (474 nucleotides) under uncultured organism. RNAcentral's name for it is "partial 16S ribosomal RNA". It matches the Rfam family "Bacterial small subunit ribosomal RNA", at positions 332 to 797 of the family's 1533-position model. The record is from RNAcentral.
UACACUCCUACGGGAGGCAGCAGUGGGGAAUUUUGGACAAUGGGCGAAAGCCUGAUCCAGCAAUGCCGCGUGCAGGAUGAAGGCCUUCGGGUUGUAAACUGCUUUUGUACGGAACGAAAAAGCUCCUUCUAAUACAGGGGGCCCAUGACGGUACCGUAAGAAUAAGCACCGGCUAACUACGUGCCAGCAGCCGCGGUAAUACGUAGGGUGCGAGCGUUAAUCGGAAUUACUGGGCGUAAAGCGUGCGCAGGCGGUUAUGUAAGACAGAUGUGAAAUCCCCGGGCUCAACCUGGGAACUGCAUUUGUGACUGCAUGGCUAGAGUACGGUAGAGGGGGAUGGAAUUCCGCGUGUAGCAGUGAAAUGCGUAGAUAUGCGGAGGAACACCGAUGGCGAAGGCAAUCCCCUGGACUUGUACUGACGCUCAUGCACGAAAGCGUGGGGAGCAAACAGGAUUAGAUACCCUUGUAGUCCCA